AAAAAAAGACUCGUGAGCAUCCGUCCAACCCGAGCAGAGCGGAUGUCUGUCCCGCGUCCCAUUGACAAUUCAAUCCCCACGCACCGUCCUCACCUCAACAGCUCUCGCCUCGCCAUGCCUCUCCCCGUCCUGCUCGCCCUGCUCUGCGCCCUACACGCUCCCGCGAGCUCCGCGUCCACGGAGACGUACUCCCUCUCGCCAGGCCAGUUGCUCGCCGGCGGCGACAAGCUCGUCUCCAGCGGCGGCAAGUUCGCGCUCGGCUUCAUCCAGAUCCCAGGCAGCGACAGCAAACCCUCCGGCUCCGGCGGCAACAGCACUCAGUUACGCAUAUGGUUCAACCGUGUUCCCAAGCUGACCUCGGUGUGGGUAGCCAACAGGGGAGGCAGCCCGGUGACAGGCGCCGCCUCCCCGGAGCUCACGAUCUCCGGCGACGGCAACCUCGUCAUCGUGGACCACGGCAAAGUCGCCUGGUCCACCCAAGCCGCCGCCACAGCCAGCAACAACAGGACGGUCCUCCUUCUCCUGGACACCGGGAACCUCGUCCUGCGCAGCGCCUCCGACGUGCUGUGGCAGAGCUUCGACCACCCCACGGACACUCUGCUCCCCGGCGCCACCAUCGGGCUGGACAAGGUCACCGGCCGGAGCCGCCGCCUCGUCUCCAGCAAGAACCGGAUCGACCAGGCUCUGGGCCUCUACUCCAUGGAGCUGGGCCGCAGCGGCGUCGUCCAGAUGCUGUGGGACUCGUCCGUGCCGUACUGGUCCAGCGGGGAGUGGAACGGCGGGUACUUCAGCUCGGUGCCGGGGAUGACCGCCCGCCACCUGUUUGGCUUCACGUUCGUCAACGACGACCGGGAGGUGUCCUUCGCCUACCACCUGCUCGACGAAACGAUCACCAUGUACAGCUUCCUGGACGUGUCCGGGCAGAGGAAGGUGUUGGCCUGGCACGAGGCUACGCAGAACUGGGCGACGGUCUACACCCACCCCACCGCGCAGUGCGAGGUACACGCCGCCUGCGGGCCAUUUACGGUCUGCGACGACAACGCGCCGACGCGGUGCAGCUGCAUGAAGGGAUUCUCCGUGGGUUCGCCUGAGGAUUGGGACCUUGAUGAUCGGAGCACGAGCGGAUGCAGGAGGAACACUCAGCUGAAUUGUGCUAGCAUUAGCAGCGGCACCAUGGUUGGCAUGGCUGACAUGUUCUACGCCAUGCCGUCCGUCAGAUUGCCCUAUAAUCCCCACAGCGCCGUUGGACAUGUCGCCAGCGCAGUCGAAUGCGAGCAGGUCUGUCUGAGCAACUGCUCUUGCAGUGCAUAUACCUUUGGAAGUGGUGGCUGUUCUAUGUGGCAUGGUGGAUUGCUGAAUGUAAAACAACACCACCAGAUUGAUGGUGCUUCCAGCGGUGAUGGCGAAAUUCUUCACAUCCGCCUCGCGGCAAAAGAGUUCCGGACUCGGAAAAACAACAAUGUAGUUAUCAUUUUAGGUGCCAUUGGUGCAGGCCUCAACGCUCUGGGUAUCUUGGUACUCAUCGUAGUGCUACGCAGGACCAGGAGGAACAAAAGGUACAGUGAAACAUUAGACAAAAUCCAUGGUGGUAGUGGGCUUGUUUCAUUCAGAUACAGCGAUUUGCGGCGUGCAACUAGAGAUUUCUCGGAGAAGAUUGGGGCAGGUGGUUUUGGUUCUGUGUUCAAGGGGUCACUAAAUGAUUCGACCACUAUAGCCGUGAAAAGGCUUCACGGUUGUUAUCAACAAGAGAAGCAAUUCAGGGCUGAGGUGAGUUCAAUUGGAAUCCUCCACCAUACAAAUUUAGUCAAAAUAGUUGGUUUUUGUUGUGAGGGCGACAAGAAGCUUCUUGUCUAUGAACACAUGCCAAAUAGUUCCCUUGAUGCCCAUCUGUUCAGGAGCAGUGCCAAAACUCUGAAUUGGAGAACCAGAUACCAAAUAGCUCUUGGAGUUGCGAGGGGGCUGGCAUACUUGCACGAGAGCUGCCUGGACUACAUCAUACACUGUGAUAUAAAGCCGCAAAACAUACUUCUGGACGCAUUGUUUGUUCCUAAGAUUGCUGACUUUGGGAUGGCAAAGCUUCUGACAAGGGAUUUUAGCCGGGUCAUGACCACAACCAGGGGCACAAUUGGGUACCUUGCCCCUGAAUGGAUCAGUGGAGUGGCUAUCACACCCAAAGUCGAUGUGUAUGGAUAUGGGAUGGUGCUACUGGAGAUCAUAUCGGGGAGGAUGAACGCGAACGGAGAAUGCGGCAGCAGUGGUGAUGGCAUUGUUUAUUUCCCCAUCCAGGUGGCACGCAAGCUUCUCGAGGGAAAUGUCACGAGCUUCGUGGAUGAUAGGUUAAACGGUGAUGUCAUCAUCGACGAGGUUGAAAGGGCUUGCAAGGUUGCCUGUUGGUGCAUUCAGGACAGGGAGUUUGAACGGCCAACGAUGGGCAAGGUAGUCCAGAUUCUUGAGGGUCUUGUUGAAGUCGACACCCCUCCGAUGCCUAAGCUACUUGAAGCUAUCGCCGGAAGAUCAAAUUCAGCAUGCACCUGACCUGAGUGGAACUUGUCUGUUGAGCUUGCACUUCUGUUGCUACUACAGUCUAAUGGAGCAUUUCUCAAGCACCCGCUGGUUCGAUCAUCUAGCUCCCAGUCCUCUGGUGAUCUCACGGUGAAGCCCUUCAUACAAUUUCAAGAUGGCAGCAUGUUAUAAUUGCAAUUUGAACCCUGAUGUCCCGGCCCCACCAGUCAGGGCCACAUGGCAAGUGGGAGACGGCGACCGCGAACGGCCGUUAACGGUGGCUUGCAUUCACCUGGUCUAACAUAUAUGUCCAUGUACCAGUCUCGAAGAAGCCAAGCGCGUACCUGUCGUUCCGGGAGACGAGCUUGUUGCCGCUGCCAAGUGGUUGGCGAGCUGAGAUGGUGUCUGUCGUAGCAGAGCUUGUCACACCGAUGUGUAGGUGGAAGAUUGCGGUGAAAACAAAGAUGAGGAGAAGGCGAGCUUGCAGUUGCAGAGAGAGACUGCAGAUGUAGCAGGAACGUAGGUGGUUCUUGCCAGAAAAGCAUUGUGAAGUUAAGUAGCUAUUCAAGUACAACCAUCAAAUUAACUAGUGGAGGGAAAAGAUGUUCCAUUGGCGAUCUA
Molecule: RNA transcript, 3123 nt
Organism: Aegilops tauschii subsp. strangulata
Lineage: Eukaryota; Viridiplantae; Streptophyta; Magnoliopsida; Poales; Poaceae
Gene name: G-type lectin S-receptor-like serine/threonine-protein kinase At2g19130
Source: RefSeq, a predicted model, not a curated record